UACGGAGGAUGCAAGCGUUAUCCGGAAUUAUUGGGCGUAAAGCGUCCGCAGGUGGCUAAUCAAGUCUGCGGUCAAAGACUGGGGCUUAACCCUGGAAAGGCCGUGGAAACUGAUAGAGCUAGAGUACCGUAGGGGUAGAGGGAAUUCCCGGUGUAGCGGUGAAAUGCGUAGAGAUCCGGAGGAAUACCAGAGGCGAAGGCGGCACCCUGGGUCUGACCUGACACUGAUCCGCGACAGCAUGGGGAGCGAACGGG
RNAcentral lists this ribosomal RNA (254 nucleotides) under uncultured bacterium. RNAcentral describes it as "partial 16S ribosomal RNA". It matches the Rfam family "Bacterial small subunit ribosomal RNA", at positions 524 to 776 of the family's 1533-position model. The record is from RNAcentral.